UUGCAUUUCCAAAAAGCGGAGGAAAAGAAACCAACAGGGAUUGCCUUAGUAACGGCGAGUGAAGCGGCAAAAGCUCAAAUUUGAAAUCGGCCAUCAGGUCGAGUUGUAAUUUGUAGAUUGUACUUUGAGAGCGGAUUAAAGUCUGUUGGAACACAGCGCCUUAGAGGGUGACAGCCCCGUAAAAUCUAUUCUCAUUGUAAAGUACUUUCGAAGAGUCGAGUUGUUUGGGAAUGCAGCUCUAAGUGGGAGGUAAAUUCCUUCUAAAGCUAAAUAUUGACGAGAGACCGAUAGCGAACAAGUACUGUGAAGGAAAGAUGAAAAGCACUUUGAAAAGAGAGUGAAAAAGUACGUGAAAUUGUUAAAAGGGAAGGGUAUUGAAUCAGACGUGGUGCUGUUGUUCAACUUUGUUUCGGCAUGGUGUACUCAGCAGUACUAGGCCAAGGUGGGGUGUUUGGGAGUGAAAAAGGAAUAGGAACGUAGCUCUUCGGAGUGUUAUAAUCUAUUUUCAUAGCUCCUCAGGCGCCUCAGGACUGCGCUCGGCAAGACUUGCAUAAUCGGAGUU
Molecule: ribosomal RNA, 562 nt
Filed under: Geotrichum pseudocandidum
Lineage: Eukaryota; Fungi; Ascomycota; Dipodascomycetes; Dipodascales; Dipodascaceae
Description: LSU rRNA
Rfam family: Eukaryotic large subunit ribosomal RNA
Source: RNAcentral